GCGCUCUUAGCUCAAUGGUAGAGCAGCUGACUCUUAAUCAGUAGGUUCUAGGUUCGAGUCCUAGAGGGCGCA
Molecule: transfer RNA, 72 nt
Filed under: Gemmatimonas sp.
Lineage: Bacteria; Pseudomonadati; Gemmatimonadota; Gemmatimonadia; Gemmatimonadales; Gemmatimonadaceae
Also listed under: 1 other name
Description: tRNA-Lys
Rfam family: tRNA
About the family: Transfer RNA (tRNA) molecules are approximately 80 nucleotides in length. Their secondary structure includes four short double-helical elements and three loops (D, anti-codon, and T loops).
Source: RNAcentral